This 48-nucleotide non-coding RNA is filed under the name unclassified sequences. RNAcentral's name for it is "ssNA-helicase RNA". It matches the Rfam family "ssNA-helicase RNA". From Rfam's summary of the family: Firmicutes, Actinobacteria (1 example). The record is from Rfam by way of RNAcentral.
UGCCUAAGGUCUAGUAUUACCCUUAGGUAACCUCUGUAUUUUGUAGCA